GCCAGACUCCUACGGGAGGCAGCAGUGGGGGAUAUUGCACAAUGGGGGAAACCCUGAUGCAGCGACGCCGCGUGAGUGAAGAAGUAUUUCGGUAUGUAAAGCUCUAUCAGCAGGGAAGAAAAUGACAGUACCUGACCAAGAAGCCCCGGCUAACUACGUGCCAGCAGCCGCGGUAAUACGUAGGGGGCAAGCGUUAUCCGGAUUUACUGGGUGUAAAGGGAGCGUAGACGGUUAUGUAAGUCUGGAGUGAAAGCCCGGGGCCCAACCCCGGGACUGCUUUGGAAACUGUGUAACUGGAGUACAGGAGGGGCAGGCGGAAUUCCUGGUGUAGCGGUGAAAUGCGUAGAUAUCAGGAGGAACACCGGCGGCGAAGGCGGCUUACUGGACUGUAACUGACACUGAGGCACGAAAGCGUGGGGAGCAAACAGGAUUAGAUACCCGCGUAA
Molecule: ribosomal RNA, 446 nt
Filed under: uncultured bacterium
Lineage: Bacteria
Description: bacterial SSU rRNA
Rfam family: Bacterial small subunit ribosomal RNA
Source: RNAcentral